AUCGUGCCCUUUGGCCUGGAAUAACACGAGGAAACUUGUGCUAAUACCGGAUAAGUCUUUACGGAGAAAGCUUUAUGCACCAUUGGAUGAGCCUGCACUUGAUUAGUUUGUUGGGGGGGUAAUGGCCUACCAAGACUGUGAUCAAUAGCUGAUUUGAGAGGAUGAUCAGCCACAUUGGGACUGAGACACGGCCCAAACUCCUACGGGAGGCAGCAGUGGGGAAUCUUGCACAAUGGAGGAAACUCUGAUGCAGCGAUGCCGCGUGAGUGAAGAAGGCCCUUGGGUUGUAAAGCUCUUUCGUCGGGGAAGAAAAUGACUGUACCCGAAUAAGAAGGUCCGGCUAACUUCGUGCCAGCAGCCGCGGUAAUACGAAGGGACCUAGCGUAGUUCGGAAUUACUGGGCUUAAAGAGUUCGUAGGUGGUUGAAAAAGUUAGUGGUGAAAUCCCAGAGCUUAACUCUGGAACUGCCAUUAAAACUUUUCAGCUAGAGUAUGAUAGAGGAAAGCAG
RNAcentral lists this ribosomal RNA (508 nucleotides) under uncultured bacterium. Its description in RNAcentral is "bacterial SSU rRNA". It matches the Rfam family "Bacterial small subunit ribosomal RNA", at positions 124 to 664 of the family's 1533-position model. The record is from RNAcentral.